ACCCCGCCCCUCCCUUGCUUAGUCGCUCGGCUGGCCCGGCUCACCUUCGGGGUGAAGGCUACCAGCGAGCGUUAUAGCAGACGACUUUAAUAAAUGCAGGCGGCAGCAGGAACUCUGGGAACUUGGGUGCCCUUGCCUGGCAGUAAGGGUUGAAUUAUCCGGAUCUGAAAUACUUUACAGAGCCGAGGGGUGAUAGGCUCUGCAAAAGCACUUUUUGCCCCUCUCCUUUAUGCCAAUACUCGCUGACUGUGCACACAAGUCAUAUUCAGUAUUAAAUACAAACCGGUCUGUAAUUCAAUGGCUCUAGCAAGACGCCUCUGAGAGGGCCAGGUGGCGGGUGCAAGUUGCUCAUUAACCCUUUAGAGUCGCAGUUUGCAGAUCUGAGUUAGAUCCCCGGCUUUGAGGUCCUUCAGUUGCCCUCCUCCCCCACCUCCCCCCGCCACUGCGAGAAAAAUGUGCAAAGAGAAGGAAAUUUGCACAUCAAACGAGGGUAAGAAGGAAGAAGAGCUAAUUCUCUUUUGAUGGGAAGUUUAGAGAGGGAGGCGAGAGACUGGCGUUUAGAAAUUAGAUCAGGGGUGGAGGGAAGAGGGAAAUGACCAUCCGAUAAUCAAACCAUUUAAUGUUGUUCUUUGAAUCAGGGCAAUCGCGGCGGUAGAUGAACUUGAUUAGGCAGACGCGUGAGAUCAAAGUGGCCGGGACCAAAGCGGACAGGGUCCAACGUGCCAGCACUGCCAAGAGAAGGCCUUUUGUACUCAGGUUAAAUAAGAACAUCCUGCAAGGAGUCUGUUCUUUUAUGCAGCCUAAAGAUCAAGUAAUAAUCAUUGACACUGAUACUGAGCAUGUCGAUUUUGAAGAGACUAGCAUUUCCUGGUAAUGAAGUGGAGUAUAUAUCCAUAUAUUUCUGUUUUCUGGAUGAGAAGACUAACCUAACUAAGUAGGAACCUUGAAGAAUCAUGUUCUUCCUAGGAAUUACAAAUCCCCCGAUUCCAUGUCUAACAUAAUUUCUACUGGCCUCUUUGCUUCUCAUGCUUUAGUACCAGUGCUUCUGAAUUUGAAAGUCUUCAUGCAAAUUGCCCAGCUGACAGGGCAGCCACUGUUGAGGAAAUGC
Molecule: long non-coding RNA, 1108 nt
Filed under: Homo sapiens (human)
Lineage: Eukaryota; Metazoa; Chordata; Mammalia; Primates; Hominidae
Description: HSALNT0357893
Source: RNAcentral